Molecule: long non-coding RNA, 2240 nt
Organism: Macaca fascicularis (crab-eating macaque)
Lineage: Eukaryota; Metazoa; Chordata; Mammalia; Primates; Cercopithecidae
Source: Ensembl
GGUUCUUCAAAAAGUUGAAUCUCUAUAUGACCUGGCAAUUCUGCUAUAUACUGAUGUGUAUAUUUAAGAGAAAUGAGAUGUGGUAUGGAAACCAUCUAAAGUCCAAAAUUUAGUAGCUCUUCCCUGAUGUCAGAGAAAUCACCUAUAUUUAUUGUAUUGGUUACAUACCAUCAUCCCUGCUAAACCCAACUCACCAUUCAGGUUCUAUCUUUGAGGAAGCAGAGUGGAUAUGAUGAGCUUGUGACUCCAUAGUUUCUAGAAACAAGUUAUGAAGAUUUGGUUUCCUCAGCCCUCUCUGGCCCACUUUGACCUAGAGAAAGGGUGCUGAUGCUGUGAUCUCAAAUAAACCCUUUGCUUUCCCCAGUCAUCUUUACAGCAUUUAUUCAAUGAUUCGUGAACGCUUGCACUUUGUAAAGCGGUGGAAACUAUCCCAAUUGUUCCUUCCUCCUGAGAUCAAAGAAAAUUGAGACUUCCUUUUUCUAUCUGUGAAACCCACUGAUUUUUAGUGUUUCCUUGCUUCCAUUUUCAGAAGUUUCUUUUGCUUUAGUAUUGCCUGCCCCAUCCCCAACCUGAAUUUUCCUCAAGAUCACUGUUACAUUUUUAAAGCCUUUUAUAAAAAUCUGCCACUCCCAUAUAAGAAGCCAGUGAAAGCACAUAAAGAUACUUUACACUUAACAUGCAGGAUGAGGUGGUUCUUUCCUGCUUAGGGCUUCAGAUUCUCCACAGCUUUGUAAAUUUCUUUAGAGGAUGAGCUGAGGGAGAUGAUCUCCCUAGAUGCCUUUUUCUUCCCCAUUUCUUCCCUAGCUCAUGCUAUGGAGCAGUCAUAUCUUCCUCCUACCUCUGCUUGCCUUUAUAAAUAGUCUCACUGCACUUUAAGCAGGUGCUCUUCAAAUUCCAUGCUACCCACAUAUGCAUUGCUACCUGACAAACACUUCUCUUUCAAUCAUGGCUACAGCAUUAUAUUGGUUUUCUAUUAUUAUGUAACAAAUGACCCCAAAUGUGGUAUCUUAAAACAACAUACAACUUGUUAUCUCACAGUUUCUGUGGGUCAGAAGUCCAGCUUGGUCCUUGCUUGUUGUCUCAUAGGCUGCAGUUAAGGUGUUGUCUGGGCAGCAUUCUCAUUUGGAGGCUUGACUGGGAAAGAAUCUUCUCCCAAGUUCACUCAGAUUGUUGGCAGAAUUCAUUUCUCUGCAGUUUUAGGAUUGAAGACCUUGGCUUCUUGCUGGAUGUCAACUGGAGAUUACUCUCAGUAUCUAAAGUCCACCUGCAGUUCUUUGCCAUGUGAGCUUUUCCAAUAUGGCCACUUCAUUAAGCCAGAGCAAGUGUGCUAGAAGAUGAAGUUAUAUAAUGCAGUGUCAUCAUGGGAGUGACUUCUGCUCACCUUUGCCAUGUUCUGUUAAUUAGAAUCAAGUCACAUAUCCACCCAGAGACUCAAGAAGAUGGGAUUACACAAAGCAUGAACACCAGGAGGUGGGAAUCAUAAGGGGCCAUCUUAGAGACUAUCCCCACCAACAAUAGCAAGAAGAAGUUUAAGUUCACCAUUUACUCUCAUUUCUUUCAUGCUAUUCAGCCAGAUAGGUCUAUUCUAUUUUCUUGUCCCAUUGUUGUUUAGCACCACCUUUGAUUUUGUCCAGAAGUUUUUUCCAUACCCUUCUCAAGUUACCACAGAUUCUUUGACAUUCAUAUUGUUCCUGUGAUUACGUUUUCUAUCUCUCUUUUCUUCCUUAAUAAGGAAACAGGAAACCUCAAUUCCACCUACCAGCUAAAGAAGUAAUCAUUUAGCAUAAUUUGUGGGGGUCUUCGUUAAUUGAUUUCCUUUUUAACCCAAGUGUCUUUCCUAGGACUUCUAUCAGCACAAGGAAAGCCAGUUUUUUUGUUUUGUUUUGUUUUUUCUCACUAGCCAUUUAUUUUUACCUAUCACUAAUCUCCGUUGAGAGAGGCAACCUGUCCUAGGCCAUGCUAGGGAUGCCGAGAAUGCAAGGUUCUGACUGUUUCUUAUCUGUUUCUCAGCGUUAUAUUUGCAAUGAGCAACUUUUAGGGUUAAGGUAACGUCUACUCGUGAACAAAGAUCAGGCUUGUUUCUUCUUACUGUAAAAGCAGUGAGUCCCCAAAGCUCAGUGUUUCUCUACUGUAAUGCAGCCCACUGCAUGUGCAGGCAUCUAUCAUAGAUGCUGUGCCAAUCCCAUGGGACUUGGGAGACAAGGGGAACUGAUGCAAAAAAAAAAAAAAAAAAAAAAAAA